Molecule: long non-coding RNA, 484 nt
Organism: Caretta caretta (loggerhead turtle)
Lineage: Eukaryota; Metazoa; Chordata; Testudines; Cheloniidae
Source: RefSeq, a predicted model, not a curated record
UAAGAGCUGAAUUUUGGCCAUAUUGAAUUUACUCCAUGGCAGGACAUAAAUGAGGAGAUGGCAAAGCAAGGCCAGGUUACAGGAUUGGAUGGAGGGAGACGGAGCAGAAGUACAUAAGUAAAUUUGUGCUUACGGCCCACAGCUGCAGGAGCAACAGGGACACUGGCAGCUUUCUUCUGGUGGAUUGCUUUGAAGUUCUUGGUCUCUACCCUCUCCUCUUGUUUGGACAUAGCAGCAGGAGGCUGAAGAGCAGGCUCUGGCUUCCCUGGGGACUGAAAUCUGACAAAGAAACAGGGGCAGACAUCAUGAGAGAGGCUUUGACUGACUUCAUGGGCAGAAGAAAGAAACAGCUGAUCAAAUUUGUCCUCUGCAGCAGUGAUCAAUAAAAGUUGUGUAGGAGAAACAAAUGAGAACAGCACACAGAGACAACGUGAAGACACCAGCGACAGCCUGUGAGGAUCUGCAGAUUUAAAAAAAUGCCUCU